AAACCAGCACCUCAAGUGGUCAGGAUGAUUAUUGGGCCUAAAGCAUCCGUAGCCGGCUUUGUAAGUUUUCGGUUAAAUCCAUAUGCUCAACAUAUGGGCUGCCGGGAAUACUGCACAGCUAGGGAGUGGGAGAGGUAGACGGUACUCGGUAGGUAGGGGUAAAAUCCUUUGAUCUAGUGAUGACCACCUGUGGCGAAGGCGGUCUACCAGAACACGUUCGACGGUGAGGGAUGAAAGCUGGGGGAGCAAACCGGAUUAGAAACCCUGGUAGUCC
RNAcentral lists this ribosomal RNA (274 nucleotides) under uncultured bacterium. Its description in RNAcentral is "partial 16S ribosomal RNA". It matches the Rfam family "Archaeal small subunit ribosomal RNA", at positions 473 to 747 of the family's 1478-position model. The record is from RNAcentral.